GCUAGCGGCAGGCCUAACACAUGCAAGUCGAACGGUAACAGGGGAAAAGCUUGCUUUUCCGCUGACGAGUGGCGCACGGGUGCGUAACGCGUAUACAAUCUACCUCUUACAGGGGGAUAGCCUUUAGAAAUGAAGAUUAAUACCCCAUGGCAUUAUAAACCGGCAUCGGUUUAUAAUUAAAGUUUCGGCGGUAGGAGAUGAGUAUGCGUUCUAUUAGCUAGUAGGUGUGGUAACGGCACACCUAGGCAACGAUAGAUAGGGGCCCUGAGAGGGGGAUCCCCCACACUGGUACUGAGACACCGGACCAGACUCCUACGGGAGGCAGCAGUGAGGAAUAUUGGACAAUGGGCGGAAGCCUGAUCCAGCCAUGCCGCGUGCAGGAAGACUGCCCUAUGGGUUGUAAACUGCUUUUGUACAGGAAGAAACCUUUCCACGUGUGGAGAGCUGACGGUACUGUAAGAAUAAGCAUCGGCUAACUCCGUGCCAGCAGCCGCGGUAAUACGGAGGAUGCAAGCGUUAUCCGGAAUCAUUGGGUUUAAAGGGUCCGUAGGUGGAUUGGUCAGUCAGAGGUGAAAUCCUGCAGCUCAACUGUAGAACUGCCUUUGAUACUGCCGGUCUUGAAU
Molecule: ribosomal RNA, 623 nt
Filed under: uncultured Flavobacteriia bacterium
Lineage: Bacteria; Pseudomonadati; Bacteroidota; Flavobacteriia
Description: bacterial SSU rRNA
Rfam family: Bacterial small subunit ribosomal RNA
Source: RNAcentral